This 477-nucleotide unclassified non-coding RNA is filed under the name plant metagenome. Its description in RNAcentral is "partial contains 5.8S ribosomal RNA, internal transcribed spacer 2, and large subunit ribosomal RNA". The stretch from base 1 to 105 matches the Rfam family "5.8S ribosomal RNA", at positions 50 to 154 of the family's 154-position model. The record is from RNAcentral.
GAAAUGCGAUAAGUAGUGUGAAUUGCAGAAUUCAGUGAAUCAUCGAAUCUUUGAACGCAACUUGCACUCUAUGGUUUUCCGUAGAGUACGCUUGCUUCAGUAUCAUAAAGACCCCAUCCUGAUUAUUAUUUUUUUAUUAAAAUAAUUAAUUUUGGAGAUAAUAAAAAUGAGGCUCUUUCUUUUCUUUUUCUUUUUUUUAAAAAAAAAGGUGGGAAAAGGUCUUGUAAGAUUGGGCAAAGUCUUGGUUAUUUACUUAGCCUUGACUCGCCUAAAAAAUUUAAAAAAAAAAUGGUUAUUACAACUUUUUUUUUUCUCUUUUUGUAUAGUUAAUACUCUAUUAAAUUUAUUUACUUGGUAUUAUAACAAUUAUGCAAGAAGGGGGACAAAGAAUAAUGAAAGAGAGUUUUUAAAUAAAUUCUUUUUUCUUUUUUCAAUCAAUGAUCUGAAGUCAAGUGGGAUUACCCGCUGAACUUAAGC